RNAcentral lists this ribosomal RNA (585 nucleotides) under uncultured bacterium. RNAcentral's name for it is "bacterial SSU rRNA". It matches the Rfam family "Bacterial small subunit ribosomal RNA", at positions 24 to 600 of the family's 1533-position model. The record is from RNAcentral.
UCAGAUUGAACGCUGGCGGCAGGCUUAACACAUGCAAGUCNAGCGGUAACAGGGGGUGCUUGCACCCCGCUGACGAGCGGCGGACGGGUGAGUAAUGCAUAGGAAACUGCCCAGUAGUGGGGGAUAGCCCGGGGAAACCCGGAUUAAUACCGCGUACGCCCUUCGGGGGAAAGCAGGGGCCCUUCGGACCUUGCGCUAUUGGAUGUGCCUAUGUCGGAUUAGCUAGUUGGCGGGGUAAAGGCCUACCAAGGCGACGAUCCGUAGCUGGUCUGAGAGGAUGAUCAGCCACAUCGGGACUGAGACACGGCCCGAACUCCUACGGGAGGCAGCAGUGGGGAAUAUUGGACAAUGGGGGCAACCCUGAUCCAGCCAUGCCGCGUGUGUGAAGAAGGCUUUCGGGUUGUAAAGCACUUUCAGUGAGGAGGAAGGCUUGAAGGUUAAUACCCUUCGGGAUUGACGUUACUCACAGAANAAGCACCGGCUAACUCCGUGCCAGCAGCCGCGGUAAUACGGAGGGUGCAAGCGUUAAUCGGAAUUACUGGGCGUAAAGCGCGCGUAGGUGGUUUGAUAAGCGAGAUGUGAAAG